GGCCAGAUAUGUGGCUCAGUUGACAGUCUAACAUGAAGCUCUAGGUUCAAUCCCAGUAGCACACAAACAGGGCACAAUGGCACACAUCUGCACUGGCAGCACUUAGGAGGAAGGUGGAAGAAUCAAGAGUUGAAGUUUGUUCUUGGCUAUGCAGCCAGGAGGCUAGCUUGGAAUACAUGGAACUCUGUCUAAACUACGGUUUCCGAGGAGACGAGAUCCAACUCACAUAGGGUCCUUGCAGAGAUCCGGGUCCCCACCACCUUCUGCCUGGGCAGGUGACUUGGCCAAGGGUGACUGUCUCUCAAAGUGAGGAGAGCAGCAAGCUGUGGAGGUUUCUGUUUAGAUGGUGAGACAGGCGUCUGUUCAUUCUUUCUAAUGGUCAGAUGCCGACAAACAGGAGAAGUGCUGUUAGGAGAAUGCAUACGAAGGCCUGAGGAAUGUUCUAUUUACGGGCUUCGGAGGGGCCAUAAUCCCCAAUCUUCCACUUGCUGCUGCUGUUGCUUGAGAAGCACAGGAGGCCGAGCUGGAUCCAGUUACACCAGAGAAUUUACUUUUAGAAGACGUUUUUCUGCCUGUAGUAGAGCCCCUGAAAUGUGGCAAAGAAAAGAAAAUUAAAAUGCUAAACGAGGCCAAGUUA
Long non-coding RNA from Peromyscus leucopus (white-footed mouse), 637 nucleotides. RefSeq lists it as uncharacterized. Lineage: Eukaryota; Metazoa; Chordata; Mammalia; Rodentia; Cricetidae. The transcript is spliced from 2 exons. The record is from RefSeq and is a predicted model, not a curated record.